RNAcentral lists this ribosomal RNA (491 nucleotides) under uncultured bacterium. RNAcentral describes it as "partial 16S ribosomal RNA". It matches the Rfam family "Bacterial small subunit ribosomal RNA", at positions 30 to 507 of the family's 1533-position model. The record is from RNAcentral.
UUGAACGCUGGCGGCCUGCUUUACACAUGCAAGUCGAACGGUAACAGGCCUUCGGGUGCUGACGAGUGGCGAACGGGUGAGUAAUGCAUCGGAACGUACCCAGAGGUGGGGGAUAACGCAGCGAAAGCUGUGCUAAUACCGCAUGUGAUCUGAGGAUGAAAGCGGGGGACCGAGCAGCAAUGUUUGGCCUCGCGCCUUUGGAGCGGCCGAUGUCGGAUUUGCUAGUUGGUGGGGUAAAGGCCUACCAAGGCGACGAUCCGUAGCUGGUCUGAGAGGACGACCAGCCACACUGGGACUGAGACACGGACCAGACUCCUACGGGAGGCAGCAGUGGGGAAUUUUGGACAAUGGGCGCAAGCCUGAUCCAGCAAUGCCGCGUGCGGGAAGAAGGCCUUCGGGUUGUAAACCGCUUUUGGCAGGAACGAAACGGUGUCCGCUAAUACCGGGCGCUAAUGACGGUACCUGCAGAAUAAGCACCGGCUAACUACGUG